RNAcentral lists this ribosomal RNA (397 nucleotides) under uncultured bacterium. RNAcentral's name for it is "partial 16S ribosomal RNA". It matches the Rfam family "Bacterial small subunit ribosomal RNA", at positions 523 to 918 of the family's 1533-position model. The record is from RNAcentral.
AUACGUAGGGGGCGAGCGUUGUCCGGAAUGAUUGGGCGUAAAGGGCGCGUAGGCGGCCCGGUAAGUCUGGAGUGAAAGUCCUGUUUUUAAGAUGGGAAUUGCUUUGGAUACUGUCGGGCUUGAGUGCAGGAGAGGUAAGUAGAAUUCCCAGUGUAGCGGUGAAAUGCGUAGAGAUUGGGAGGAACACCAGUGGCGAAGGCGACUUACUGGACUGUAACUGACGCUGAGGCGCGAAAGUGUGGGGAGCAAACAGGAUUAGAUACCCUGGUAGUCCACACUGUAAACGAUGAAUGCUAGGUGUAGGGGGUAUCGACCCCUUCUGUGCCGCAGUCAACACAAUAAGCAUUCCGCCUGGGGAGUACGGCCGCAAGGUUGAAACUCAAAUGAAUUGACGGGG